ACAGAGGUCCCGAGCGUUGUUCGGAUUCACUGGGCGUAAAGGGUGCGUAGGUGGUUGGGUAAGUUUGAGGUGAAAGCUCCGAGCCUAACUCGGAAAAUGCCUUGAAGACUAUCUGACUAGAGGAUUGGAGGGGAGAUUGGAAUUCUCGGUGUAGCAGUGAAAUGCGUAGAUAUCGAGAGGAACACCAGUGGCGAAGGCGAAUCUCUGGACAAUUCCUGACACUGAGGCACGAAAGCCAAGGGAGCAAACGGGAUUAGAUACCCCGGUAGUCUUGGCUGUAAACGGUGCGCACUUGCUGUGAGCGGAUUCGACCCCGCUCGUGGCGUAGUUAACACGAUAAGUGCGCCGCCUGGGAAGUACGGUCGCAAGAUUA
This 373-nucleotide ribosomal RNA is filed under the name uncultured bacterium. RNAcentral describes it as "bacterial SSU rRNA". It matches the Rfam family "Bacterial small subunit ribosomal RNA", at positions 525 to 896 of the family's 1533-position model. The record is from RNAcentral.